Molecule: ribosomal RNA, 426 nt
Filed under: uncultured Verrucomicrobiota bacterium
Lineage: Bacteria; Pseudomonadati; Verrucomicrobiota
Description: uncultured Verrucomicrobia bacterium partial 16S ribosomal RNA
Rfam family: Bacterial small subunit ribosomal RNA
Source: RNAcentral
UCGAGAAUUUUUCACAAUGGGCGCAAGCCUGAUGGAGCGACGCCGCGUGGGGGAUGAAUGGCUUCGGCCCGUAAACCCCUGUCAUUUGCGAUCAACCGUUGUUAUUUAAAAGAUGACAGCCUGAUAGUAGCGAAAGAGGAAGGGACGGCUAACUCUGUGCCAGCAGCCGCGGUAAUACAGAGGUCCCAAGCGUUGUUCGGAUUCACUGGGCGUAAAGGGUGCGUAGGUGGCGAAGUAAGUCGGAUGUGAAAUCUCCGAGCUCAACUCGGAAACUGCAUUGGAAACUACUUUGCUCGAGGGUUGGAGGGGGGACUGGAAUACUUGGUGUAGCAGUGAAAUGCGUAGAUAUCAAGUGGAACACCAGUGGCGAAGGCGAGUCCCUGGACAACUCCUGACACUGAGGCACGAAAGCUAGGGGAGCAAACA